CUCAACCGGUUCCCCUCAACCCCCUCAGCUUUCUCUCAGCAAACCCUAUUUUCCUCCUGAAACGCAUCUCAUCGUCUCUCUCUCGGGGCGGUGGCGGCGGCGGCAAUACGUGACGCAGGUGACAGCGAGCUCUUGCAGGUCUGCACCUCUUCUCAGCUAUCUCUAGACGUACGCCCUGACAUCUCUUCUCCCUUUCUGCGAUCAUUGGCAAUGGUGUCACCACGGAACAAGGGGCGAUGGCGGCCGGCUGUGCGAGAGUAAAUUGAGAGUGGCCUCGAACGAUCGGUGGCCUACUCUUGUUCCAAUCUCGCGGGAACAAGACCAGUGGCGGCCGGGCCUGGAAGAGUCUCUCCUCUCCAUACCACCAUCUUCUCCCAUGUCCUUCACCGUGGACCUUCUAGCAGCGCCCACAACUCCCUAAUCCACCCUUUGCAGCAGGAAGGGUCGCAGCACUGGCCUAGCGACCCCUGAUGGUGUAGCGGACAGCCCCUCCGGCUCCUAGGCGCCCGAGGUUUCCUAAAGCAGCAGAUCGACUGUGCCCAUGUGAUCAGGUGAUUCAGGUCUAAUGUCGGGUGUGUUUGCUUAUUCUUUUGUUCCUUGCCUACCAUAGCAUCAAUAGGUAAUGUUUAUCGCAGCCAAAACUGUCGGCAGGCUUAAUCUCGGACCACUUGUCAUGGGAUGAAGGUCAGCCCUACCCUCGGCAAGCUUAGAGGUCUGUAAUGAGCUCCCAUAGCACACAAUGCGAUAUGUGAAAACUUUCAGUUUGGUGCUUCUGUUCCUUUGGUUGUAGUCUGAAUUGUCAUUUGUCAGAAAACCAUGCCUUGCAGAGGUGUUGCUCAAACGGAUCCGCUUCAGUUUUAUCCAACUACAAUCAAUUUGCUGGCUAGGCUUGCAUGAUGCUCAAGUGGUGGCAUUCAAGAUGCAUAUGCAAUUGUGAUUGUAGUGUGAUUGAAUGCCUACUAAUUACAGAUAUGCAGUUACAGGAAAUGAAUUGCUUUGAUUAAUUAGUUGCGUUAUAGUGCAUAUUGUUUCUUAAUAUUUAUCCUUGCCACUGGGAUGCUAUGUUCAAUAUUCGUGUGUUCUUCAGUUGUCGCUAACAUAAGGCUGCCACACUAUUUUUGCAAGGAUAUGGAAGAGCGCUCCCUGAUGGUUAAUGCAUGGAUUUUACGAAGAGAAUGUCCGUGCAUUAUGAAUACGGUUUCUUAAUGCAUAGUUGUUCACAUGGAAAGGUUUUCGAUGAAGACAAACUCUGAAGGUUCUCAAGUCAAAGCGUACAUGAACGAUGGUUGGCAGCUCAUAUUCCCCUCCAGAUUUUUAUGUAAAGUGAAGAAUGGCCGGAUUGAUAGCGAUGAUCAGUGCAGUGCGAGACAAGUAC
Long non-coding RNA from Triticum aestivum (bread wheat), 1375 nucleotides. RefSeq lists it as uncharacterized. The transcript has 3 exons. Lineage: Eukaryota; Viridiplantae; Streptophyta; Magnoliopsida; Poales; Poaceae. The record is from RefSeq and is a predicted model, not a curated record.